Molecule: non-coding RNA, 970 nt
Filed under: Amaurornis phoenicurus (white-breasted waterhen)
Lineage: Eukaryota; Metazoa; Chordata; Aves; Gruiformes; Rallidae
Description: 12S ribosomal RNA
Rfam family: Bacterial small subunit ribosomal RNA
Source: RNAcentral
ACAGACUUAGUCCUAACCUUACAGUUAAUUCUUACCAGACAUAUACAUGCAAGUAUCCGCGCCCCAGUGUAAAUGCCCACAACUCCUACUCGUAAAGCAGGAAAGAGGAGCAGAUAUCAGGCACACUCUAAUGUAGCCCAAAACGUCUUGCUCAGCCACACCCCCACGGGUAAUCAGCAGUAAUUGACAUUAAGCAAUAAGUGUAAACUUGACUUAGUUAUGGUAACCCCACAGGGCUGGUAAAUCUUGUGCCAGCCACCGCGGUCAUACAAGAAGCCCAAAUUAACUGUCACCGGCGUAAAGAGUGGUAACACGCUAUUAUUUAACUAAGACCGAAAUGCAACCAAGCUGUCAUAAGCCCAUGAUGCAACUAAGACCUCCCUCAAAACGAUCUUAGCACCUAUGAUUAAUUGAACACCACGAAAGCCAAGGCACAAACUGGGAUUAGAUACCCCACUAUGCUUGGCCCUAAAUCCAGAUAUUUACCCCACUAAAGUAUCCGCCCGAGAACUACGAGCACAAACGCUUAAAACUCUAAGGACUUGGCGGUGCUCCAAAUCCACCUAGAGGAGCCUGUUCUGUAAUCGAUAACCCACGAUAUACCUAACCCCUUCUUGCCCAUAGCAGCCUACAUACCGCCGUCCCCAGCUCACCUCUCCUGAGAGCCCUAACAGUGAGCACAACAGCAUUCCCCCUAAUAAGACAGGUCAAGGUAUAGCCCAUGAAGGGGAAGAAAUGGGCUACAUUUUCUAAAAUAGAAAACCCACGGAAAGAAGCCUGAAAGAACUUCCAGAAGGAGGAUUUAGUAGUAAAGGGGGACAAGAAUGCCCCCUUAAACCCGGCCCUGGAGCACGUACAUACCGCCCGUCACCCUCUUCACAGCCCCCAAUAUCCAUAACUAACACGCCCACUAGGCCAAAGAUGAGGUAAGUCGUAACAAGGUAAGUGUACCGGAAGGUGCACUUAGCAU